UAGGGGAGACUGGAAUUCCUGGUGUAGCGGUGAAAUGCGCAGAUAUCAGGAGGAACACCAAUGGCGAAGGCAGGUCUCUGGGCAGUAACUGACGCUGAGGAGCGAAAGCAUGGGUAGCGAACAGGAUUAGAUACCCUGGUAGUCCAUGCCGUAAACGGUGGGCGCUAGGUGUAGGGGUCUUCCACGACUUCUGUGCCGCAGCUAACGCAUUAAGCGCCCCGCCUGGGGAGUACGGCCGCAAGGCUAAAACUCAAAGGAAUUGACGGGGACCCGCACAAGCGGUGGAGCAUGUGGUUUAAUUCGACGCAACGCGAAGAACCUUACCAGGAUUUGACAUCCCACUAACGAAACAGAGAUGUAUUAGGUGCCCUUCGGGGAAAGUGGAGACAGGUGGUGCAUGGUUGUCGUCAGCUCGUGUCGUGAGAUGUUGGGUUAAGUCCCGCAACGAGCGCAACCCUUAUUGUUAGUUGCUACGCAAGAGCACUCUAGCGAGACUGCCGUUGACAAAACGGAGGAAGGUGGGGAUGACGUCAAAUCAUCAUGCCCCUUAUGUUCUGGGCUACACACGUGCUACAAUGGCCGGUACAAAGAGAAGCAAGACCGCGAGGNGNAGCAAAACUCAAAAGCCGGUUCCAGUUCGGAUUGCAGGCUGCAACUCGCCUGCAUGAAGUCGGAGUUGCUAGUAAUCGCGGAUCAGAAUGCCGCGGUGAAUGCGUUCCCGGGUCUUGUACACACCGCCCGUCACACCAUGGAAGUUGGGGGCGCCCAAAGUUGGCAGAUAAAUAUGCUACCUAAGGUGAAACCAAUGACUGGGGUGAAGUCGUAACAAGGUAACC
Molecule: ribosomal RNA, 836 nt
Filed under: uncultured bacterium
Lineage: Bacteria
Description: bacterial SSU rRNA
Rfam family: Bacterial small subunit ribosomal RNA
Source: RNAcentral